AGUACCUCUCACCUCUCCCGGCCUCGAGCCAGACAGUAUCUCCUGAAAGCCCGACAGUUGAGCUGCCGGAUUUCUCAAGAGACUUAUCCGGCCGGCUACAGACCCUUUAGACCCAAUAAUAGCGGUUACCACUCGAGCCGCCGGUGUUACCGCGGCGGCUGGCACCGGUCUUGCCCGGCCCUUGCUAUGAAAUGCUUUUUAGGCAUCUCAACAGCCAGAAUUGUAUCCUGGCACUCGAGGUUCCCUUAUCGCCGUUGCCGGCAUUGUAAAGUUUUCGCACCUGCUGCACCCCGUAGGGCCUGGAUUCGUGUCUCAGAAUCCAUCUCCGGGCUCUUGCUCUCACAACCCGUACCCGUCGUAGGCUAGUAGGUACACUACACCCACUACUACCUGAUAGGCCGCAGACCCAUCCUUAGGCGCCGGGGCUUUCAUUCAGGGGGCAUUCCAGCGCCCCUGAACUAGCGGGUAUUAUACCCAGUUUCCCGGGUUUAUCCCCGACCUAAGGGUAGGUUGUCCACGUGUUACUGAGCAGUACGCCAUGCCUUGCGGCAUUCGACCCGCAUGGCUUAGUCGAACCUCGAUAGCAGUAACCUCUGGCAGAAUCGACCAGGUCUGCAGCGGCCGCGGACCGA
This 632-nucleotide ribosomal RNA is filed under the name uncultured archaeon. RNAcentral's name for it is "partial 16S ribosomal RNA". The record is from RNAcentral.